AUUGAACGCUGGCGGCAGGCCUAACACAUGCAAGUCGAACGGUAAGAGGAAGCAGCUUGCUGCUUUGCUGACGAGUGGCGGACGGGUGAGUAAUGUCUGGGAAACUGCCUGAUGGAGGGGGAUAACUACUGGAAACGGUAGCUAAUACCGCAUAACGUCGCAAGACCAAAGAGGGGGACCUUAGGGCCUCUUGCCAUCGGAUGUGCCCAGAUGGGAUUAGCUAGUAGGUGGGGUAACGGCUCACCUAGGCGACGAUCCCUAGCUGGUCUGAGAGGAUGACCAGCCACACUGGAACUGAGACACGGUCCAGACUCCUACGGGAGGCAGCAGUGGGGAAUAUUGCACAAUGGGCGCAAGCCUGAUGCAGCCAUGCCGCGUGUAUGAAGAAGGCCUUCGGGUUGUAAAGUACUUUCAGCGGGGAGGAAGGGAGUAAAGUUAAUACCUUUGCUCAUUGACGUUACCCGCAGAAGAAGCACCGGCUAACUCCGUG
Molecule: ribosomal RNA, 490 nt
Filed under: uncultured bacterium
Lineage: Bacteria
Description: partial 16S ribosomal RNA
Rfam family: Bacterial small subunit ribosomal RNA
Source: RNAcentral